AGUGAACGCUGGCGGUAGGCCUAACACAUGCAAGUCGAACGGCAGCACAGUAAGAGCUUGCCCUUACGGGUGGCGAGUGGCGGACGGGUGAGGAAUACAUCGGAAUCUACUUUUUCGUGGGGGAUAACGUAGGGAAACUUACGCUAAUACCGCAUACGACCUACGGGUGAAAGCAGGGGAUCUUCGGACCUCGCGCGAUUGAAUGAGCCGAUGUCGGAUUAGCUAGUUGGCGGGGUAAAGGCCCACCAAGGCGACGGUCCGUAGCUGGUCUGAGAGGAUGAUCAGGCACACUGGAACUGAGACACGGUCCAGACUCCUACGGGAGGAAGCAGUGGGGAAUAUUGGACAAUGGGCGAAAGCCUGAUCCAGCCAUACCGCGUGGGUGAAGAAGGCCUUCGGGUUGGAAAGCCCUUUUGUUGGGAAAGAAAAGCAGCAGGUUAAUACCCCGCUGUUCUGACGGUACCCAAAGAAUAAGCACCGGCUAACUUCGUG
Molecule: ribosomal RNA, 492 nt
Filed under: uncultured bacterium
Lineage: Bacteria
Description: partial 16S ribosomal RNA
Rfam family: Bacterial small subunit ribosomal RNA
Source: RNAcentral